UGGGGAAUAUUGCACAAUGGGCGGAAGCCUGAUGCAGCGACGCCGCGUGGGGGAUGAAGGCCUUCGGGUUGUAAACUCCUUUCGACAGGGACGAAGCUUUUGUGACGGUACCUGUAUAAGAAGCACCGGCUAAUUACGUGCCAGCAGCCGCGGUAAUACUUAGGGUGCGAGCGUUGUCCGGAAUUACUGGGCGUAAAGAGCUCGUAGGUGGUUUGUCGCGUCGUCUGUGAAAUUCCGGGGCUUAACUCCGGGCGUGCAGGCGAUACGGGCUGACUUGAGUGCUGUAGGGGAGACUGGAAUUCCUGGUGUAGCGGUGAAAUGCGCAGAAAUCAGGAGGAACACCGAUGGCGAAGGCAGGUAUCUGAGCAGUAACAGACGCUGAGGAGCGAAAGAAGGGGUAGCGAACAGG
Molecule: ribosomal RNA, 409 nt
Filed under: Actinomycetes bacterium
Lineage: Bacteria; Bacillati; Actinomycetota; Actinomycetes
Description: Actinobacteria bacterium partial 16S ribosomal RNA
Rfam family: Bacterial small subunit ribosomal RNA
Source: RNAcentral